GAUGAACGCUAGCUACAGGCUUAACACAUGCAAGUCGAGGGGUAACGAGAGGAAAGCUUGCUUUCCUUGUCGACGACCGGCGCACGGGUGAGUAACGCGUAUCCAACCUGCCCCCAACUAGGGAAUAACCUUGCGAAAGUAAGACUAAUACCCUAUAAUUUCUUCAGAUGACAUCUGACGAGGAAUAAAGAUUUAUCGGUUGUGGAUGGGGAUGCGUCUGAUUAGCUUGUUGGCGGGGUAACGGCACACCAAGGCAACGAUCAGUGGGGGUUCUGAGAGGAAGGUCCCCCACAUUGGAACUGAGACACGGUCCAAACUCCUACGGGAGGCAGCAGUGAGGAAUAUUGGUCAAUGGGCGGAAGCCUGAACCAGCCAAGUAGCGUGCAGGAUGACGGCCCUAUGGGUUGUAAACUGCUUUUAUACAGGAAUAAAGUUAGCCACGUGUGGUUAUUUGUAGGUACUGUAUGAAUAAGGACCGGCUAAUUCCGUGCCAGCAGCCGCCGUAA
Molecule: ribosomal RNA, 506 nt
Filed under: uncultured bacterium
Lineage: Bacteria
Description: partial 16S ribosomal RNA
Rfam family: Bacterial small subunit ribosomal RNA
Source: RNAcentral